RNAcentral lists this ribosomal RNA (590 nucleotides) under Stylaster roseus. RNAcentral describes it as "partial large subunit ribosomal RNA". It matches the Rfam family "Bacterial large subunit ribosomal RNA", at positions 1809 to 2608 of the family's 2925-position model. The record is from RNAcentral. Lineage: Eukaryota; Metazoa; Cnidaria; Hydrozoa; Anthoathecata; Stylasteridae.
AAAAACAUAGCUCUAGAAAUAAUCUAAAGCGCAACCUGCCCAAUGAUUUUUAAGUAAAAAGAAAUAAAACCCUUAAAAAAAAUUAAAAGGACGCAGUAAACUGACUGUGAUAAUGUAGCAUAAUCACUCGCCAUUUAAUUGAUGGAUAGUAUGAAAGGUUUAACGAAUCCCUCACUGUCUCGAAAAAAGAGCCUUUGAAGCUAAAAUAGUAGUUAAGAUGCUACUUAAAAUUGUAAGACGAAAAGACCCUAUAGAGCUUAACUAUAAUCUUCUUUAUAAAGAAGAGAGGUAGUUUAGUUGGGGCGACUAUCUUUUAAAACCAACAAAGAUGAGCAAUAGUAAUAAAAAUACUUAUUGUAUAACAAAUAGGUUUAACAAUUACUAAAAUAGGCUAUAAUGACCCGUUGUAAAUUAACAAAAAUCACAACGAUUAACAAAUAAAAGCUACCUUAGGGAUAACAGGAUAAUUUUGUUCUAGAGACCAUAUCGAAAACAAAGUUUAUCACCUCUAUGUUGAAUUGAGAUAACCUAAUAAAGCAGAAUUUAUUAAAGGUAGGUCUGUUCGACCUUUAAAAUCUUACAUGAUUUGA